UGCUUCAUCCCUGCCUGAGUGACAGUUCCCGACGAUGUGCCACUGCCCGGCCUCAGCCCAUCCCCAUGCGAUGGCUUUCGUUUAGCUGGGAAAGCACGGAGUCAGGAUCAACUGCACAAGUCUUGGUGAAUCCCACCUAGCAAGUCCACAAAGAGCAACAGGGACCACUGGCCCUCUCCCCGGGACCACCAAGGGUAGGGCCAGGCUCAGCCUGUAGCUCCACACCUGCCUCCCCUGCAGCUGACCCAAAGACUGAUGCUGUCUUCAGCCAGAGAUGGAUGAGGCCCUCCAGGAACAUCCUCAACUUGCUCAGUUUCUCUGGUGGGCAUUAUCUGGAGGAAAUAAUUUUUGAGAUAUGUGUGUCACAGUGAUGUCCUAUCUGCCUUAGAAGGGACUUCAGGAUUUUUGCCAACUGCUGUUUACACAAAACUCUAUUAGAACGGUGUCCCGAGGGGCUGCAGAGGGGGAAGGAGAAAACCAUCACCAUAAGCUGCUGCGGUGACCCAAGAAAUGCAUACUACAGAGGAAUAUGCAACUUCUUCUCCAGAUGCCACCAAGUAAGGGAGAAAGGGGGUAACAAGCUGUCUGGAGCCAGCUACCCCUAGUGUCUACAGCAAAUGAGUUCCUGUAAUGAGGGGGAAUAUAUGAUCUAUGCAAAUGCCACUAAUGGCUUUUCCUGCAGCUGGGUGCCAAAGCUGUUUCCCCUUUGAUCAUAUUGUCCCCUUCCCAGUCUGUCUUCAACACUGUUACAGCUACUGGUGCAGUGUAUUUCAAGCUAUUAAUAACAUCUCUUUCAGUAUUUGUACUAUAAACCACAGCGGUUUUACAUACAUUUUUUUCAAAACAUGACUUUAUUGCAUUAUCAUCUUUUUUAUAGAGACCAGGUAAGAUACAGAUAUCAGCAGAGAUGACAGACAUGGGCAAAUUGCACUGAUAGAUCAUUAUUACCAGAGCAACCACAAUUUUUAGAUGUUCCUUUACCACAGUGUUGCCAGAUGAACUGUGUCGACCUAGACAUACAAAACCUGAACUUGUUUGAACAUUUUCACUCUGUCCUACAGGGCCGUUGAAACAGACUUCUGUCUGUCCACCUCCUGGCAGACACUGCCAGGAGCUCCAGGGAAGAGGGAGAGCUGCUCACAUUUGGAUUCCAAAAGAGUCAGGAUGGAGAUUAGCAGCGGGAAGGCAGUCAAAAAAGCGAGCCCCAAGGGAAGGUCUGAACCAGAAGGUGGAUUACGGCCUCCCGAGGGUGCGGCGAGGUCGGGUGAGGUGGCAAAGGAGGAUGGGCAGCUGGCACGCCAUCGCACAGGCUCCAGAAAGGGUCUGAGUGAAUAUAAGAGAAACUUCAGAUGGAAAACCCCAGAGUUUUGUAGCCCAUCCCAACAGCAGAAAUCCUUGUGGGCAGGACUUCGGUCGGAUCAGUUCGGAAUCACGAGAGAACCAAACUUCAUUUCCAAGAGAAGGGUACCUUACCAUAAUCCACAGAUUUCAAAGUCCUUUGAAUGGACAGCAGAUUGUGAUUUGAAUGACCCACUUGAAACUGAAGUUAUUAGAACUGCAGAGUUGCACACAGACCACAACAACAAUGAUGUGAAUCAGGAAAAAAUUGAAACGCCAGAAGGACCCAGACUCCCCCGAGAAGUUCGGUCACAUUCAGUAGACUCUAGAGGUGAAACAGCCCUUGCCCUUGCAGAAAACAACAUGAAGAGAUCACCCUCUGCAGCUUCAGCAAAUCAAAAUGAAGCACUUUCAUCUCCAAAAAAGGAAUUAGAAAAAAUGGGUAAUGGGCUUCCCAGAGUCCUUCAGAGGAAAGCAGGCAUGAAUAUUUCACAUUUAAAUACUUUUCCCAGAAAUUCUGAAUAUCAAAGCCAAUUUGUUUGGAAGAGUCCUCAUGAAAAGUCACCAAUACUUGCAGCUGAACAGGUUAUUAGCAACACAAGUAAAUCCAUACCUCCAUUUAAAUCUCCUGCAAUUACUUCUGAAACUGCACAUGAGAGAAAUUUCAAAGGGUCUCCUCCUGUUAAGGGUCCACAAGAAAGAGGUGGUUCAGAAGAGAAAGAAUUUCCAGUUUGUGAACAAAGUAAGAGGGAAGAACCGUUUCAAAAGCCAGCAGAAGAUGCAGCAAAACAAGGGAAAUCAGAACAGAAACAUCCUAAACAAAAAAAUAAGCAACAUAUCAGUCCAAAGCCCCUCUCUUUACAUACAAGUCGUGGGAAGAUGAACACUGAAUAUAGGUCAAAAUUUUUGUCUCCAGCCCAGUAUUUCUACAAAGAUGGAGUUUGGUCUCGAAUCAGGAGUAAAGUUCCCAACCAGGCAUCUCAAAACACCUUAAAUUCCAUGUGGUAUAUGGAGGUGAGAGAACUUCGAGAAAGAGCAAAGGCUUACAGGCAACGAGUAGAAGGAACACACUUCUCCCGAUACCAUCUCAAUCAGAUCCUGUCCGAUAAUAACAGUCUUUGGGAUGUGUCCUCAAAUUCUAGUUCAGAAGAAGGCAUCAGCAACAACAUCAGAGCACUAGAUCUUGCCGGAGUUUCUGAAAAAGAGACUGCACCAAGCCCCAAAAUGCUGCAGCAACCUGACUCCAGAGAACAGCCAAACCAGGACAGCACUGAGAAGAAAGACAUGUCAGAUGCUUUAACUGUUCCAGUCAAAAGGCGUUUAGUUUGGGGUGAACAAGAAGGUGCUGAAGAAAGGGAGAAUCAGCAAUCAACAGAAGGGGAAAAAAACCAAGAUGAACAGACUGCAGUUGUGGCUCAGCAAUUAGAAGAGAACAAUAAAGAUGCCAAUGAAGAUAAGAAAAUUGAAGGUGAGAAUGCCUUAGUAUUGAAUUCUUCUGCAGCUGUGUCAAAUUCUUCGGUAUCCUCGAGGACAGGCGGCAGGCUUCCUACUCCAAAGCUGAGAGCGCUUGGUGGAGCUCAGAGGACUCAUCAUGAUCUCACUACCCCAACUGUUGGAGGUGCGGUUCUAGUGUCUCCUCCUAAAUUCAAGUCUUCGUCUUCACAGCAGAGAACACGAGGUUUAGGAACAGACUCUUCUUCGGCUAAGCAAGGUGCAAGAGAAGCUUCCAAAAGAAGGUCCUUCCAGCCUGAUGUGGAAGUGGAAGCUGUUUCACUCCUUACCUCUCCACCUGCUGGGCUGGGAACUUUGGAUCCUCUGCCACUUAGGCAGGAUCAGUGGCCUCCUAACAGUGUUUCUGAUGAGCAAGUUCCUCUUGCUUCAGCCCAUCAAGAGCAUUCCUCUACGCCUCCUGUGCUGAAGUCAGCCAAAAGCUGCUCUGUGCCUUGCUGGAGUCCCUCUCGUCGUAUUCAAGGGACUCUCAAGGAUCCAGAAUUCCAGCAUAAUGGGAAUGUUGGCAAUCCCAAAAUGAGAUCUUUCCAGUUACCCCUUCAGGAAAGAAGCUAUAAUGAUGAAGAUGACAGGUUGUCUCAGAUUUCUGCUCGCUCGGCAGCGUCUAGCUCACUUGCAUCUCAGAUACUGGAACGAGCUCAGAAGAGGAAGGAUUUCUGGGGCAAGACAUAAUCUCUCCCAGCUGUUGUAUAGAAACUGUUCUGUAAAAUUAUUUCUUUUUUAUAGUUUGUAGUGUACAUUUUAAAAAAUGGUGAUUGUAGAUAUCAUGCAGCAUCCUUUCACUUACCACUAAUAUGGCCCAACUUUUAGGACUUGCCAUCCCAAUUUAAAAUUUCAAUAUUUAAACCAGUGUUGAAAGUGUAGGUCCUUUAUAUCUGAGAGUUACGUCUUAAUUCACUAUGUUACAACAGCCACAUGGGUUUUGUUUUUUUUUUUUUUUUUACAGUGGCACCUCUUGAAACUGAGAUAAUUAUUUUUUUAUGCAACCUGUGUGUUACUUUUCAAGGUAUUUUGCUGCAGUCAUGUGGUAUGACCUGGGACAGUAUUCAGGGGCAACACCAUCAUUCACCAAACAUCUCAGUUGCUUGAUUUUAACCUAUCUUAAAGGCAACUGUGGUAUAUUUGUUUAUGUUACUGUAUGAAUUGUCAGUACAACACAGUGCUGUAACAAAAAGUUACUACUUACUGCUUUUAACCUGUUAUGUAAAAAAUCUUAUUAUUUCUUAAUGAAGCUAACAUGGAACGUACAGGAGUUUGAGAAAAGAACACUAAGCGUGAGGGUUUGUUCAUUGUCCACAGUUUUUUGGCCAGGAUGACUAUUAGAGUUCAGUGUGUACAGUACUGCAGUCAUCAGAUGUACUGACAUGAACUUUUGUCUUUUUGUGGGCAAGACCCGUAUUUAGUAUUAACUUCAACUUUUCUAGAAAAAGCAACCUCAGCCACCUUAAACAGUGGCCUUCUACGUCCUCACUUCAAACUCAGGUGUUUAGGAGUAGUUGAUCUCUUAAAGUAAACUCAGAAGAAUGUUUUUUCUUGACUUUGGCAUUUUAAUUACCUCUCCUCCUAGUUGCCCGUUUCUGGGAGACCAACAUACUGUUACGAUUGUCACAGUGAAAAAGCAAGCUGAACAUGGAAAAAAGGUUCAAAAGUGCACCCUUUAUUAAUAAUUACAAGUGCGUGCUGUACAGUGAAUGUGUAUUGUUUUCAAAGGAAAUCUUAGAAGCCUUGGAGAGACCAAGUAGAUAAACGAGGAAGGCAGUUGCCAAUAGGAGAUGCAUCUAAGGAAUAAACAGCUUUGGGAUCUUGUCGACUUAAGGUCAAGAUUUACAAAACCAGCACAUUAAUAAUGGACCCAGUCAAUAAGUGUUGAAUUGAAUGUUUUCAGCUGCUGUUCCCAAGUUGGGUAUACCUGCUGAGUGGAUCUCACUGCUGGGGGCUCACAGCUCUCAACCCCCUGUACAAGUAAAGGAGCCAGCUCUUCCUCACUGACUGCUGCCAGCUGGGAAAAGGCUUUCCUUUACCCAGUAUUCCUGCCAAUAAAGCAUUCCCCCAGCAAGCCCACAAAGAGCAGACUUGAUUCCAGUCUGUCACAUCUCAAAAACCUCCCAUCUUGCCAGAUAAUAAGACUGUUGCCUGUCUGCGAGAAUGAGAAGCAAGCUCUCGGUUUCUUCUACUGAAUCUUUUUUUGGAUAAAAAUGGUUGGUGACCUAGGGGUUGGAACAAAGAUCUCCCUAUUCCCAAAGCUAUGCUCACUCUAGCAUCUUCUUCCUCCUUUCUCUGGCCAAAUAAGUCAUGGAAUGACUUCACCAGGAGGGAUGAAGCACCUUUCUCAGCACUCAGGCAACUCCUCCAGUGAGGUUUGGAUGCCCCUCGGCAUUUGGAGGGUUUUGAGGAUUUAGCUAAACGCUUACAGUAGCAGCAAGGUAGUAUUUAGGCACUUGCAUCCUUUUAUGGCUCUGGGCUUUCGUUUCUGUUCAGAGUCUCAGUUUCCAGUGCCUUUCACGAUGCAUCAGCCUUCUCUACUUAAAAUGCUGAAAUUACCCCUGAAACACUGGAUUGAACAGUUUGAGAAGAAUUGUUUGGGGCUUUCCAGCUCUGCAGGGAAGUUUGGAAGGACUUUCUGGGAUUGUGGAUAAUCCCAUCCUACUAAAAAAGUCCUGCUAAAAUGCGUUAGUUUUGCAAUAAUAUUUUGUUGUUACUUUCAAAUUUUAAUGCCAUACUGAGGCGAGUUCUGAAACAUAGUGUGAAGUAUAUAAAUGUUGUUAACCUUACAAAUGUAAGCAGUCAAGUUUCUUUAGCCAUCAGAGCUAGAUUGCUUUUAAGGAAAGUGUAGGCAACAAAGCAUGUUUUUGGGACACAGUGUGGAUUAAGUCCCAAGGCCGCCCAGUGCUCUUCCAGUGAUACUUAAAUCACUAUGGGUAUGUUGUUGUAUAGGGAUUUUUCAUACUUUUUCAAUGAAUAGAUCUGUAUGUCUUCUGUAUUGCUCAUAUGGAUCCCUGUGUAGUGAGUAACAACCUCCUGAAAACAGCUUUGCCGUCCCUGAUGCCUUGCAGGUAGCCUGAGUUCCCCCUGGACCUAAGGGCCACAGCCUGAAGCCCAAUGUGUGUUGCAGAAGGGUGAAAGGAAGCAAAGUUACUUACCAGCCACCAGCUUUCUCCUUCAUUCACAAAUUCUUCAAGUCCAGGUACUAAGAUGUUUUCCUUAUCUGACUCUUGGUGUCAUCGCUUUCUGGCAGAUAGCAGUGGAGGAAAAAGGGAUUUCCAAAUACUAUCCAUAAUACUCGACAAGCAAAUUUCUAGUACUUGAAGAUGGGGCAGGAAGCAUAGCUUCUUUGAACAAUUUAGAGUGCGCUUAUUUGCAUAAUGCCAUAUUGCUGUAUUACAUCUGCCUGUUCCUGCAAGGCUGAGCUGGUACCUAAUGUUCUGGUGUCAGAGCAGUUCUUGCUGUCUGGUAAAAUCUGUCAGCAAAGAGCCCCAUCGCUAUCUGAUGCGAGUGGAAGUUUUGCUGUGCCCUCGUUGACCAAGUUUUAGCGUAGCCUGAAGCCACGUUGUUCCA
Molecule: RNA transcript, 6402 nt
Organism: Harpia harpyja (harpy eagle)
Lineage: Eukaryota; Metazoa; Chordata; Aves; Accipitriformes; Accipitridae
Gene: SAXO6
Gene name: Mdm1 nuclear protein
Exons: 18
Source: RefSeq, a predicted model, not a curated record